RNAcentral lists this ribosomal RNA (431 nucleotides) under uncultured archaeon. Its description in RNAcentral is "bacterial SSU rRNA". It matches the Rfam family "Archaeal small subunit ribosomal RNA", at positions 474 to 903 of the family's 1478-position model. The record is from RNAcentral.
UACCAGCUCUCCGAGUGGUGUGGAUGUUUAUUGGGCCUAAAGCAUCCGUAGCUGGCUGGGCAAGUCCCCUGUUAAAUCCACCGAUUUAAUCGUUGGUGUGCGGGGGAUACUGUUCGGCUAGGGGACGGGAGAGGCCGACGGUAUUUUCGGGGUAGGGGUGAAAUCCUAUAAUCCCGGGAAGACCACCAGUGGCGAAGGCUGUCGGCUAGAACGCGCCCGACGGUGAGGGAUGAAAGCGUGGGGGAGCGAACCGGAUUAGAUACCCGGGUAGUCCCAGCUGUAAACGAUGCAGGCUAGGUGUUUGGGCGGCCACGUGCCGCUCUAGUGCCGCAGAGAAGUCGUUAAGCCUGCCGCCUGGGGAGUACGGCCGCAAGGCUAGAAACUUAAAGGAAUUGGCGGGGGAGCACCACAAGGGGUGAAGCUUGCGGUUU